RNAcentral lists this small RNA (91 nucleotides) under Xenorhabdus thuongxuanensis. RNAcentral's name for it is "STnc150". The record is from RNAcentral. Lineage: Bacteria; Pseudomonadati; Pseudomonadota; Gammaproteobacteria; Enterobacterales; Morganellaceae.
GAGUUUUGAUAACUUGUUUUGAUAACUUUUUGAUAACCAUUACUCAUAUUAUAAUAAAACAACGGGAACCAUUAAGCCCCCGUUAUCUAUU